UUUGAAAAGAAACAAAAAGGAUAUUGAAGGUUUGGUCGAUGAAUUUUGGGCUAACCUUUCAUAAUUAACGAGUUCAACCAAACCUAUUGUUUUGGAUCAGAUUAUGUAUGCAUAUAUACAAACCAUUUAAUAUGUCAUACUAAUUCUAAUUCUAACAACACGAAAGAUUUCAUUAGCUUCUAUUACAGAAUGGACCACUUUCGCUAACAAUACCUAAACCACUUCUUUCUGCGCCCAAACGGCAAACUCUGGGCAACAAAAGUCUACUUUAGUGCAAAAAAAGAGCAAACAGAGUAGUCGGCCUACAUCACACUCCUUGGGUGCGGCCCUUCUUCGGACCCUACAUAAAUGCUGGAUGCUUUGUGCACCGGGCUGCCCUUUAUAUAGACAAAAAUAUAAACCACUUAUCCUAAAAUAUAAACCCGUGUUUAGUACACGGAUUGUCAUGGGAACUGUUGAUAUGGAGAUACAAUUGCAGUUUUUUGUCAUUAGCAUCUGGUGGAAAGGUUGGAAAUUUUAAAACUGCUGCAUGGAAGUGGCAAUAACUACAACUUCGUCCAAAUACAACUAAAUAAGUAUCAAAGUUACCACAGUGGAAUCAACCAAAUUUCACCGGCUGUAGGCCACCUCGGUGCAGCAGUCAGCAAGCAAAAUGCUGCACAGCUGAAAUUGAGAGACAAAUUUAAAUCUACAUUCUUAGUUAACUUGUUUUCUCUAGACUCAAUUCCUUCGCUUGUGAAGAAGCUAAGCUAGUUCUUCUUACUCAAACAUUAUGUUCACCUGCCCUUGCUUCAGGAUUGAAAUUUUCACCAGAUCAAAAGAAGUGUCCUCCAGUUUGCUGCUGAGACACAAAUUUAAAAAUAUAUACUCAGUAGACUAGUUUCUGCAAGACUGCUCCAGCUCGCUGUUCAAAUUUAGGAAGUGCCCACUCAUGCUGAAUAAUAUCUAAGCCAUCCUUUUCUGCUCCCAAACUCUGUAUAACAAGAAAGAUACUUUAGUUACGAAAAAGCAAGAAAAUAUAGGAGAAGAUGUACUCUGUAAUAAAGACGAUUAAUUUGUUCUCCAAUAGAAAGCUUAAACUUUGUAGAAAGUGCCAUCGACUCACAGGUUGUGUGUAUAGAGAGGGAUGUAAAGAUGAUCUACUGUCAUUACUCUGAAUGGUCACUCACAAUAGAAUUAAGUUCAGAAAUAUCAGGAACCUCCAUAGGUCAAUGUAUAAAGUUCCUUUAAAAUAGCAACUCUAUCACAAGCAGCAUGGGGUUCAAUCUCUUCCCUCCACAGAGUGAAAGCAAAUGUCUAUGCAUUUCAGUCUUGUUCUUACCCUGUCCCUCUUUCUAAAGGUUGCUUAAGUACUGACCACUGAGUUUGGAAUUUAAGGAUCAAGAGAUUAAUAUAAAGUUUUUUCUUAAAAAGAGGGGGGGAGAGUCCAAGCUAAAGAAAAAAGAGAAUGGACUAAAUAUGCAUGUGUAUUCAAUGAUAGAAUUCCUGGCAAUUUGCAUUCAGAAGCCAUUCAUUUAUCUCACUUGGAUCCUUGACUGAAAUAUUCUCCACCCCUUCCUACAGCCAAACAACUAGGCUCACCUAUCAGCUUUACAGUUAUUUCAGAGAUAUAGCCAUACUAUGGCUUCUGAAAUUAAAAUAAGCGAAGAGAAAAAACAGCAUUCGAUUUAGACACCUGACAACAGCACUUAAAUGACCAAUCAACCAAAUGAAUGCACGUACUAAUGACCUUCUUAGGAACAAACAUGUGUAGACUUCAUGCGCAAUUAUUCACUCUGGACAGCAAAAAUUCAACACUGAUACAUGUUGAAAUCGUAGGAGAUUCAGUUGACAAUCAAGACUAAGUAAUCCAGAUUCAUUCCCACGUUUGUUUUUUUCCUUUUUUUUUUCGUGGGGGUGGGGGAGGUGGGGGUAUGGAGAAGAUACACUCCCAGCUCAUAUAAACACUCUUU
Molecule: long non-coding RNA, 1952 nt
Filed under: Nicotiana tabacum (common tobacco)
Lineage: Eukaryota; Viridiplantae; Streptophyta; Magnoliopsida; Solanales; Solanaceae
Description: long non-coding RNA (NTAB_LNC010175)
Source: RNAcentral